GCAUCGAUAGCUCAGUGGCAGAGCGGUGGGGGUAACCCAUGAAGCCCGGGUUCGAGCACCGGUCGAUGCA
Phthorimaea operculella (potato tuberworm) is the source of this 70-nucleotide non-coding RNA. The record is from the annotation of a GenBank genome assembly. NCBI's taxonomy places the organism in Eukaryota, Metazoa, Arthropoda, Insecta, Lepidoptera, Gelechiidae.